UACGAAGGGGGCUAGCGUUGCUCGGAAUCACUGGGCGUAAAGCGCACGUAGGCGGCUUUCUAAGUCGGGGGUGAAAUCCCGGAGCUCAACUCCGGAACUGCCCUCGAUACUGGAAAGCUUGAGUCCGGGAGAGGUGAGUGGAACUGCGAGUGUAGAGGUGAAAUUCGUAGAUAUUCGCAAGAACACCAGUGGCGAAGGCGGCUCACUGGCCCGGUACUGACGCUGAGGUGCGAAAGCGUGGGGAGCAAACAGG
Molecule: ribosomal RNA, 253 nt
Filed under: uncultured bacterium
Lineage: Bacteria
Description: partial 16S ribosomal RNA
Rfam family: Bacterial small subunit ribosomal RNA
Source: RNAcentral